This 497-nucleotide ribosomal RNA is filed under the name uncultured bacterium. Its description in RNAcentral is "partial 16S ribosomal RNA". It matches the Rfam family "Bacterial small subunit ribosomal RNA", at positions 28 to 507 of the family's 1533-position model. The record is from RNAcentral.
GAUGAACGCUGGCGGCGUGCCUAAUACAUGCAAGUCGAACGCAUAGCGAAAGGUGCUUGCACCUUUCAAGUGAGUGGCGAACGGGUGAGUAACACGUGGACAACCUGCCUCAAGGCUGGGGAUAACAUUUGGAAACAGAUGCUAAUACCGAAUAAAACUUAGUGUCGCAUGACACAAAGUUAAAAGGCGCUUCGGCGUCACCUAGAGAUGGGUCCGCGGUGCAUUAGUUAGUUGGUGGGGUAAAGGCCUACCAAGACAAUGAUGCAUAGCCGAGUUGAGAGACUGAUCGGCCACAUUGGGACUGAGACACGGCCCAAACUCCUACGGGAGGCUGCAGUAGGGAAUCUUCCACAAUGGGCGAAAGCCUGAUGGAGCAACGCCGCGUGUGUGAUGAAGGCUUUCGGGUCGUAAAGCACUGUUGUAUGGGAAGAACAGCUAGAAUAGGAAAUGAUUUUAGUUUGACGGUACCAUACCAGAAAGGGACGGCUAAAUACGUG